AUUGAACGCUGGCGGCAGGCUUAACACAUGCAAGUCGAACGAGUGGCGGACGGGUGAGUAAUGCUUGGGAAUCUGGCUUAUGGAGGGGGAUAACUACGGGAAACUGUAGCUAAUACCGCAUACCCUCGGAUGAGCCCAAGUGGGAUUAGGUAGUUGGUGAGGUAAAGGCUCACCAAGCCGACGAUCCCUAACUGGUAUGAGAGGAUGACCAGCCACACUGGAACUGAGACACGGCCCAGACUCCUACGGGAGGCAGCAGUGGGGAAUAUUGCACAAUGGGGGAAACCUGAUGCAGCCAUGCCGCGUGAGUGAAGAAGGUCUUCGGGUUGUAAAGCUCUUUAGGUAGGGAGGCGUUAACAACAGAAGAAGCACCGGCUAACUUCGUGCCAGCAGCCGCGGUAAUUC
This 405-nucleotide ribosomal RNA is filed under the name uncultured bacterium. Its description in RNAcentral is "partial 16S ribosomal RNA". It matches the Rfam family "Bacterial small subunit ribosomal RNA", at positions 30 to 526 of the family's 1533-position model. The record is from RNAcentral.